GGAUUCGUUCAAGGUGAAAGUGGCGAACGGGUGAGUAACGCGUUGGUGAUCUGCCCCGGAGUGGGGGAUAACUAUCGGAAACGAUAGCUAAUACCCCAGAUGUUAUCGUGUUUGGAAAGCGAUAACUAAAGUUCAGGCGCUCCGGGAGGAGCCUGCGUCCCAUCAGCUAGUUGGUAGGGUAAUGGCCUACCAAGGCUCAGACGGGUAGGGGGCGUGAGAGCGUGGCCCCCCACACUGGUACUGACACACGGACCAGAUGCCUACGGGUAGCAGCAGCUAGGAAUAUUGGGCAAUGGGCGAAAGCCUGACCCAGCAACACCGCGUGAAGGACGACGGCCUCCGGGUUGUAAACUUCUUUUCGAGGGAAUGAGAAAGGACAGUACCCUCGGAAUAAGGCCCGGCUAACUACGUGCCAGCAGCCGCGGUAAUACGUAGGGGCCAAGCGUUAUCCGGAUUUACUGGGCGUAAAGCGCAUGUAGGCGGUUGAUCAAGUCGGAUGUGAAAGCUCCUGGCUUAACUGGGAGAGGUCAUUCGAAACUAGUCGGCUGGAGGGUGGUAGAGGAGAGCGGAAUUCCAGGUGUAGCGGUGAAAUACGUAGAUAUCUGGAGGAACACCAGUGGCGAAAGCGGCUCUCUGGACCAUUCCUGACGCUGAGAUGCGAAAGCCAGGGGAGAGAACGGGAUUAGAAACCCCGGUAUUCCUGGCCGUAAACGAUGUCAACUAGGCGUAGGAGGUUAUUAACCCCUUCUGUGCUGUAGCUAACGCGUUAAGUUGACCGCCUGGGGACUACGGCCGCAAGGCUAAAACUCAAAGGAAUUGACGGGUCCCCGC
This 831-nucleotide ribosomal RNA is filed under the name uncultured bacterium. Its description in RNAcentral is "bacterial SSU rRNA". It matches the Rfam family "Bacterial small subunit ribosomal RNA", at positions 76 to 924 of the family's 1533-position model. The record is from RNAcentral.